GUGCUUACUUCUGCAGCACAUAUACUAAAAUUAGAAUGAUACAGAGAUUAGCAUGGCCCCCCUGCACAAGGAAGACAUGCAAAUUCGUAAAGCGUUCCAUAUUUUA
This is a small nuclear RNA of Urocitellus parryii (Arctic ground squirrel), 106 nucleotides long. NCBI's taxonomy places the organism in Eukaryota, Metazoa, Chordata, Mammalia, Rodentia, Sciuridae. The record is from Ensembl.